UUGAUAGUGUUUGACGUGGAAUUUGGGC
Molecule: non-coding RNA, 28 nt
Filed under: Homo sapiens (human)
Lineage: Eukaryota; Metazoa; Chordata; Mammalia; Primates; Hominidae
Source: RNAcentral